UUCUUCAGAUGAUGAUCCCAAGCCUUCUGGCGAUCUCUUACAAUAAGCCCUUUGGGACUUUAAGGAAGACACUUUUGUGUUUUAUGAGAUAAUGCCGGGGAAGGUUUUCCGGUUUAUCCCGGAGGGCUUGUAGCUCAGCUGGUUAGAGCGCGCGCUUGAUAAGCGUGAGGUCGGAGGUUCAAGUCCUCCCAGGCCCACCAAUUUUACAUCACUUUUAAGUGCUUAUAGAAAUUGUAAGCAGUUAUGAAAGCUUGCUGAUAGAAAUUUUAUGGCGCUUAUCCAUUUGGUUUAAACGAUAUGUGACUUAAGCCAUCUAAAAUUAAAGCAGUUCAAAUGCAUAGAAGUUUGAAUUUUAGACAAUGGAAGUAAAUUUGGAUAAUGUGAAUUUUGAGCAGUAUAAAUUUAGGUUCUGCAAAUUUUGCAAAUCUCUCUUCAAAGAGUUUCGCAUGUUUUAUGCUGUUUUAGGGGCCGUAGCUCAGCUGGGAGAGCACCUGCUUUGCAAGCAGGGGGUCGUCGGUUC
RNAcentral lists this unclassified non-coding RNA (520 nucleotides) under Bartonella quintana. RNAcentral's name for it is "partial 16S-23S ribosomal RNA intergenic spacer". The stretch from base 124 to 197 matches the Rfam family "tRNA". The record is from RNAcentral. Lineage: Bacteria; Pseudomonadati; Pseudomonadota; Alphaproteobacteria; Hyphomicrobiales; Bartonellaceae.